AUGAGGCAAGCGUUCCAAUCGAACAUGUUCACCUUCACUGACAAGCUAAUGGUGUGCCUCGGAGAAAUGUGUACAUGCUGUAAGGCACAUGGACGGAAAAUGUGUAUCCUGAAGAGUGAAGAGACAACCAUCCACGCCGCGCCUCCCACUCCAUCAACUGAUCAGCUAAGCACCCCACUAGUCAGCAAGAUUGGACCACGCCUUCCAGCCCCAGGGCUGCAUGAAGGUGCGUUGUCUGCCAGUAGUUCAAUUUCGAGGAAAAGGGAUGGAAGCUUAUCAUCAAGUAUACAAUCUGGUCCGUUGAAGAGGCUUUGUUUACCUUCCCCCAAUGCAGAAGAUGUCCUUGGUCAAAAACAGAAACCAAUAGCACAUGAUUCGACGGUUAUGGAGAUUGCCAGCAGCAUCAUGUCAAUGUAUGACGAUCUAACAGCGAUCCUUGUCACUUAUUAUGCCGAGAUGCGGCCACCCCCCACGGCGAUUUUGUUUGGUGCAACAACAGACGGGGCACCUGUGAAGAUUGACCUUGCACAGAGCAACUUUGGGAGGGACCCAUGGGUUGCCGGUUCUGUCCCCCCGCCACCCCCAGAAAACGCGCUUAGGGCUAUACGAGACCGGAUGUCAGCAGCCUCCAUGGCGAAUUUGCAGAGGAAUUGGAUUGUACAUCUUAAACCAAGGUUAAUAUCAAUCGAAGGGUUUGAAAUUCAGUGA
RNAcentral lists this ribosomal RNA (708 nucleotides) under Triticum aestivum (bread wheat). RNAcentral describes it as "partial small subunit ribosomal RNA". Lineage: Eukaryota; Viridiplantae; Streptophyta; Magnoliopsida; Poales; Poaceae. The record is from RNAcentral.